RNAcentral lists this ribosomal RNA (562 nucleotides) under uncultured bacterium. RNAcentral's name for it is "partial 16S ribosomal RNA". It matches the Rfam family "Bacterial small subunit ribosomal RNA", at positions 355 to 1375 of the family's 1533-position model. The record is from RNAcentral.
UGGGGAAUAUUGGACAAUGGGGGCAACCCUGAUCCAGCCAUGCCGCGUGAGUGAUGAAGGCCUUAGGGUUGUAAAGCUCUUUCACCCGGGACGAUAAUGACGGUACCGGGAGAAGAAGCCCCGGCUAACUUCGUGCCAGCAGCCGCGGUAAUACGAAGGGGGCUAGCGUUGUUCGGAAUCACUGGGCGUAAAGCGCACGUAGGCGGACCGUUAAGUCGGAGGUGAAAUCCUGGGGCUCAACCCCAGAACUGCCUUCGAUACUGGCGGUCUCGAGUCCGGAAGAGGUGAGUGGAACUGCCAGUGUAGAGGUGAAAUUCGUAGAUAUUGGCAAGAACACCAGUGGCGAAGGCGGCUCACUGGUCCGGUACUGACGCUGAGGUGCGAAAGCGUGGGGAGCAAAACAGGAUUAGAUACCCUGGUAGUCCACGCCGUAAACGAUGAAUGCCAGCCGUCGGGCAGCAUGCUGUUCGGUGGCGCAGCUAACGCUUUAAGCAUUCCGCCUGGGGAGUACGGUCGCAAGAUUAAAAACUUAAAGGAAUUGACGGGGUCAUAGCUGUUUCCU